Molecule: ribosomal RNA, 489 nt
Filed under: uncultured bacterium
Lineage: Bacteria
Description: bacterial SSU rRNA
Rfam family: Bacterial small subunit ribosomal RNA
Source: RNAcentral
GACGAACGCUGGCGGCGUGCUUAACACAUGCAAGUCGAGCGGUAAGGCCCUUUCGGGGGUACACGAGCGGCGAACGGGUGAGUAACACGUGGGUGACCUGCCCUCAGCUCUGGGAUAAGCCUGGGAAACCGGGUCUAAUACUGGAUAUGACUCCAUGACGCAUGUUGUGGGGUGGAAAGCCUUGUGCGGCUGAGGAUGGGCUCGCGGCCUAUCAGCUUGUUGGUGGGGUGAUGGCCUACCAAGGCGACGACGGGUAGCCGGCCUGAGAGGGCGACCGGCCACACUGGGACUGAGACACGGGCCCGACUCCUACGGGAGGCAGCAGUAAGGAAUAUUGGUCAAUGGACGCAAGUCUGAACCAGCCAUGCCGCGUGAAGGAUGAAGGCCCUCUGGGUUGUAAACUUCUUUUAUCUGGGACGAAAAAAGGGGAUUUUUCCUCACUUGACGGUACCAGAGGAUAAGCACCGGCUAACUCCGUGCCAGCAGCCG